UGUACCGUGGUGUACGGAACACUCGCCGGAACUCUAGGCUGGGACGAAGCGUUACGGCGAGCCGGGGUUCGACUCCCCGCGGUGCAC
Mycena latifolia is the source of this 87-nucleotide non-coding RNA. Lineage: Eukaryota; Fungi; Basidiomycota; Agaricomycetes; Agaricales; Mycenaceae. The record is from the annotation of a GenBank genome assembly.